This 253-nucleotide ribosomal RNA is filed under the name uncultured bacterium. Its description in RNAcentral is "partial 16S ribosomal RNA". It matches the Rfam family "Bacterial small subunit ribosomal RNA", at positions 524 to 776 of the family's 1533-position model. The record is from RNAcentral.
UACGUAGGUGGCAAGCGUUGUCCGGAUUUACUGGGCGUAAAGAGCGCGCAGGCGGUCGUUCAAGUCGCGUGUGAAAGCCCCCGGCUCAACUGGGGAGGGUCACGCGAUACUGAUCGACUCGAAGGCAGGAGAGGGAAGUGGAAUUCCCGGUGUAGUGGUGAAAUGCGUAGAUAUCGGGAGGAACACCGGUGGCGAAGGCGGGUCUCUGGGCAAUAACUGACGCUGAGGAGCGAAAGCGUGGGGAGCGAACAGG